GAUGAACGCUGGCGGCGUGCCUAAUACAUGCAAGUCGAGCGAACAGACGAGGAGCUUGCUCCUCUGACGUUAGCGGCGGACGGGUGAGUAACACGUGGAUAACCUACCUAUAAGACUGGGAUAACUUAGGGAAACCGGAGCUAAUACCGGAUAAUCUAUUGAACCGCAUGGUUCAAUAGUGAAAGACGGUUUUGCUGCCCCUUAGAGAUGGAUCCGCGCCGCAUUAGCUAGUUGGUAAGGUAACGGCUUACCAAGGCAACGAUGCGUAGCCGGCCUGAGAGGAUGAUCGGCCACACUGGAACUGAGACACGGUCCAGACUCCUACGGGAGGCAGCAGUAGGGAAUCUUCCGCAAUGGGCGAAAGCCUGACGGAGCAACGCCGCGUGAGUGAUGAAGGUCUUCGGAUCGUAAAACUCUGUUAUUAGGGAAGAACAAAUGUGUAAGUAACUAUGCACGUCUUAACGGUACCUAAUCAGAAAGCCACGGCUAACUACGUG
RNAcentral lists this ribosomal RNA (497 nucleotides) under uncultured bacterium. Its description in RNAcentral is "partial 16S ribosomal RNA". It matches the Rfam family "Bacterial small subunit ribosomal RNA", at positions 28 to 507 of the family's 1533-position model. The record is from RNAcentral.